Long non-coding RNA from Sebastes umbrosus (honeycomb rockfish), 1164 nucleotides. RefSeq lists it as uncharacterized. Lineage: Eukaryota; Metazoa; Chordata; Actinopteri; Perciformes; Sebastidae. The transcript is spliced from 4 exons. The record is from RefSeq and is a predicted model, not a curated record.
CAGAUAGUUUGUGAAGGUUCUCAGUCAUCCAGGUCAUGGUAUCUGAGUAAGGGUUAAAUCAGCAGCAACUGGAUUUGGUUUAGGUUCUUGAAGACGUUUCACUUUUCAUCCGAAAAGUUUCUUCAGUUCUGGCUGAAUGUUAGGGGAACCCAGGAAUUGAACCUCUGUGGGGUCGUUAGCAGGAAUAUAGGAACCACUCAGUACAAUGGUGCUCCUCCAGAGGUGUGACCACUGGAGUUAUGGAUUGUUAGAGUCAGCUGAUACCAGGUGUGAAUGACUGUCCGGUGAGGUCAGGUGUGAAUGGUUGUUUAGUCUCCUGGGCAGGGAUGCCAGGAUAGCAUUGAAGAUGGAAGACAGGUGAUGCCUUAGGCCUCCUCCUCUGUUGAGUGAUGGCUUCUCUACUUUAGCAUAGAUGGCCUCUUUCACUCCUCUUUCAAACCAUAUUUCCUCCCUGUCCAAAAUAUGCACGUUAUUGUCCUCAAAAGAUUGUCCCUUGUCCUUCAGGUGCAGAUAGACUGCUGAGUCUAAACCUGAGGAGUUGGCCCGUCUGUGUUGAGCCAUCCGUCUGUUUAGUGGUUGUUUGGUUUCACCAAUGUACCAAUGAAUAACAGAUUGCUCCAUCUCGUCUGUGGCCUCAGUGUUACACGAUAGAAAUCAUUUGUUUUCUUCUAAAUUAAAGUGGAAACAAUAUUCUAACAUUACAAAAUAUAGUUUUGGGGAACUAGACUCUUUAAGAUUAAAAAAAGCGCCUCCUCCCCAUCCUUGAGUCAGACAGGAAGUUGUCAACAGGAAGUUGUGAAACAUUAAAGUGUCAUGAAGUGUCACUGAUGGUCAGGCUCAUUGAUGCUGAGAUGAACAUCACUUUAAAAGCCUGAAGCCAGAAAAGUCAUUGAGAAAGUUUCCUGAUCAAUCGACUGACUCUGCUCCUAUAAUGAGUGAUCCACAGAGCUACAGAGGAGGUGAAGCUCCAGCCUCCCAACAACGCUCAGUGUCACAUGGAGGGUCAAAGGUCACAUCAGAGAGAGUGGCCCUGCUGGUUCUCAGCGCUCUCCUGGCAGCUGCUGUCAUUGUUAUAUAGUUUGUCAUCGUUUGAUAACCUGUGAACCAACAAAUGUUUCCAGACACUGAGAGACGAGCAUGAAGCUUUAAAAAGAAAUCUCAAGG